GUUGGCAUCCCUCCUCUUGGACCGCUUGCGGUUCCUCAGGAUGAACACGAGCAUGCCCACCACGGUGAAGGCGGAGGUGACGAACACCAGCAGCAGCCCGGGCACCAGCACGGAGAUGGACACCCUGCUGGUGUCCAGAAACCAAACUGAGAAAGGAGUGUGCUUCAUGCAGUGUCUGUGACUGAUAGGAGGAAAGACUUGAAGAAGAGACAGAAAAAAUGCUGGCUGCUUAGGAAGAAAAAUAUUGAUGGUAAUCAUCUAAAAUCACACUUUUAAAAUUAAUUGGUUACUUGUUUAUUCAACUUGCUAAAUAAAUACUUGAUGUGCAAA
Molecule: long non-coding RNA, 330 nt
Organism: Pipistrellus kuhlii (Kuhl's pipistrelle)
Lineage: Eukaryota; Metazoa; Chordata; Mammalia; Chiroptera; Vespertilionidae
Exons: 2
Source: RefSeq, a predicted model, not a curated record